AUGCUUGUUCUUGGAUACAUUUCUCCUCGUCCUGCCAUUUUUGGCACUGUGAGUGGGCUCAUAAAGAUGAUGGGGUUUAUGAUGUUCAUGAAUACCCAAGUUUUCACGAGAGUGGUUUCUAUUUCUUUCUGCCAAAUUUUAUUUUUCUGUUCACUCACGCCCCCUCCCAUCACCACCCUUUGGCACGUCAAAUUCAACUUCACGAGCGGUGCACGGGAAAAGCGAUGUAUUUACGGCUGGUUCUUUAUUUCAAUUAAUAAUUAUGAUAGACUACAGAAAAAUCAUACAUUUGGGGAAAGGGGAAAAAGGAAAACAGGAGCAGGGAAAAGGAGGUUCUACUGCUGCAGUGGAAAACAACGCAUUUAUCUCAUGUAUUGUGGGCCACGUCUCUUUCUUGGUAUUUACUACGGCUGCUAUGGCUCCUUUCCUGUUUGAGCACCUCAAUUCUCUGUAUAGGAGCUACGGUCUCUGUUAAUGGAGACAGGACAUUUCUCUCUCUCUUCUAUGGACAGAAUUUUCACCAACGAUAUCAUCGGUCUGUGUGAAAAGGGAGGGUCCUGCAGGACUCCUUCUAUCUCCAGCGGUCUAAAGGCUGGGGCUAAGCAAGUUAGAGGCACAGGCACCCUGGUUUUAGUCAGAUUUAUAUGCACCUCUCCUAUACCCUUGGCACUUUGCAUAGAUUAAAAGACAAUAUUCUACACAACCAAUUAAGAUCUUAUCAUAUUAAUUGAACUGUCAUUAUAACAUUACCACAAGCCAUCUGAGUAAUCACUAUAUGAUAACUCCUUAUAACCCAGCUCAUUGACCUACCAGAUGCCUGCAGAAAAGGUACGUUUGGCAGUAUGCCUUCAAAGCUCAGAACCUGACCAAUAAUUCCUAAUACAAGGGACCUUUUCCACCUAAAUCAGAUGCCUCCUAUUUAUCUGUAUCUGUUAUAUAAGGGGAAAACAGGCAUUUUUUUU
Molecule: long non-coding RNA, 962 nt
Filed under: Anser brachyrhynchus (Pink-footed goose)
Lineage: Eukaryota; Metazoa; Chordata; Aves; Anseriformes; Anatidae
Description: lncRNA (ENSABRG00000008707.1)
Source: RNAcentral